This is a long non-coding RNA of Haliotis rubra (blacklip abalone), 219 nucleotides long. RefSeq lists it as uncharacterized. The transcript has 2 exons. Lineage: Eukaryota; Metazoa; Mollusca; Gastropoda; Lepetellida; Haliotidae. The record is from RefSeq and is a predicted model, not a curated record.
GUUAUUUUCAUUACAGCAAGGGCGAAUAUGAGACAAGCAUUCCAGGAUAUACAAACACACUGUUACACAUGAUGGAUUUAUGGGAGAACACAUCAAAUAAUCCACGAGCUGUGAAUUAUAAAUAUGGAUGACUGCAAAAGCAAAGAAGAAGAUAAUGAAACAAACUGAAAAAAGUGUACACGUUUCCAGAAUUAUUAAUAAAAUUGUUGAUUACAAGUC